AGGAUGAACGCUGGCGGCGUGCCUAACACAUGCAAGUCGAACGUCCUGUCUCGCAAGAGGCAGGGAGUGGCGGACGGGUGAGUACCACGUGGGUCAUCUACCGUGAGGUGAGGAAUACCGGCGAGAAAUCGCCGACAAGACCGCAUAGGCUCGAUGCAAGUCGAGCAAAGCUCUUUCGAGAGAGGGAGCGCCACACGAGGAGCCUGCGCCCGAUUAGCUAGCUGGUGGAGUAACGGUUCACCAGGGCGACGAUCGGUAGCUGGUCUGAGAGGACGAUCAGCCACACUGGGAUUGAGAACGGCCCAGACUCCUACGGGGGCAGCAGUGAGGAAUUUUCGUCAAUGGGGGCAACCCUGAACGAGCAACGCCGCGUGCAGGAGAAGGUUUCGGAUCGUAAACUGCUUUUCUCGGGAAGAGAAUGGACGGUACCCGAGGAAUCAGCCCGGCUAACUACGUGCCAGCAGCCG
RNAcentral lists this ribosomal RNA (467 nucleotides) under uncultured bacterium. Its description in RNAcentral is "SSU rRNA". It matches the Rfam family "Bacterial small subunit ribosomal RNA", at positions 26 to 517 of the family's 1533-position model. The record is from RNAcentral.